RNAcentral lists this long non-coding RNA (288 nucleotides) under Homo sapiens (human). Its description in RNAcentral is "non-protein coding lnc-SERBP1-1:1". The record is from RNAcentral. Lineage: Eukaryota; Metazoa; Chordata; Mammalia; Primates; Hominidae.
GCGAGACUCUGUCUCAAAAAGAAAUGUAAUGCACACAAGAAUUACAAUCAAAAGAGAAUUUGUAGACCAGGCAUGGUGGCUCACAACUGUAAUCCGAGCACUUGGGGAGGCCAAGAAGGGAGAAUUGCUUGAAGCCAGAAGUUCUGAUACCAGCCUGGACUAAAAACCAAGAAUGUCUCUACAAAAAAUUUAAAACACAAUAAAAUUAGACAAGCAUGAAAAAAAAAAAAAAGAGAGAGAGAGAGAGCGAGAGAGUGAGAAUUUUUAUUCCAGAACAACAAAAAUGAA